CCUACGGGAGGCAGCAGUGGGGAAUAUUGGUCAAUGGUCGCAAGUCUGACCCAGCAAUGCCGCGUGAGUGAAGAAGGUCUUCGGAUUGUAAAGUUCUUUUAUCAGGGACGCAGAAAAUGACGCUACCUUAGGAAUAAGCCACCGCAAACGAUGUGCCAGCAAGCGCUGUAAUACAUCCGUGGCAAACGUUUGCCGGAAUGGCUGGGGGUAAAGGUAGCGUAGGUGGUCUGUUAAGGUGGGAGUGAAAUCCCGGGGACCAACCCCGGAACUGCUUUCAAUACUGACGGACUUGAGUGUGAGAGGGGUAAGCGGAAUUCGUAGUGUAGCGGUGGAAUGCGUAGAUAUUAGGAGGAACACCAGUGGCGAAGGCAGCUUACUGGAU
Molecule: ribosomal RNA, 382 nt
Filed under: uncultured bacterium
Lineage: Bacteria
Description: partial 16S ribosomal RNA
Rfam family: Bacterial small subunit ribosomal RNA
Source: RNAcentral